CAUGUCUUUUUGAUUAUAAUUUAAAGUCUGACCUGCCCUAUGAUAGUAUAUAUUGAAUGGCCGCGAUAAUUUGAUCGUGCAAAGGUAGCAUAAUAAUUAGUUUUUUAAUUGGGAACUGGAAUGAAAGGUCGAACGAGAAAAAGACUGUCUCAAUUUAAGUUUAAUUAGAAUUUUAUUUUUAAGUUAAAAAGCUUAAAUAUUUUUAAAAGACGAGAAGACCCUAUAGAGUUUUAUAUUUUAGUAAUUUUUUAUUUAGUUUAAGAAUUUAAUUUUAGAAUUAAUUAUAAAAUAUUUGGUUGGGGUGAUUAAAAAAUUAAAUAAACUUUUUUUAUUUAUUAAACAUUGAUUUAUGAUUAAGUGAUCCAUUAUUAAUGAUUAUAAGAUUAAAUUACCUUAGGGAUAACAGCGUAAUUUUUUUUGAGAGUUCUUAUCGAAAAAAAAGUUU
RNAcentral lists this ribosomal RNA (445 nucleotides) under Onthophagus babirussoides. RNAcentral's name for it is "partial 16S ribosomal RNA". The record is from RNAcentral. Lineage: Eukaryota; Metazoa; Arthropoda; Insecta; Coleoptera; Scarabaeidae.